Long non-coding RNA from Sorghum bicolor (sorghum), 1127 nucleotides. RefSeq lists it as uncharacterized. The record is from RefSeq and is a predicted model, not a curated record. NCBI's taxonomy places the organism in Eukaryota, Viridiplantae, Streptophyta, Magnoliopsida, Poales, Poaceae. The transcript is spliced from 2 exons.
UCACCGUUUCCGUCUGGUAUGAUAUUCAGUGCUACAAGUAGCAUUAUUAUGAAUUCUGAAAUUUCCAAGGUGAGGAAGAAAGGACAGGGCAGAACUCACAUUCUGGCAUGUCUUGACCUGCGUCUCUAUGUUGGAACGCCAGUUCUGCACCUCCUGAAACAGAGGUGCAUCUCAUCAGCGUCUGAUCAUCGAAGCAACCAAAUUCCCAAAUCCAAGUCCAUAUAUACGCACCUGUUUCAGCUUCUGGAUCCUCUCCAGCAACUCCGCCUGCGACGAGGUCAGCUCCUGCAACACAACAGAAGCACAAGGAUCAACCCAACUCGCCCAAAACUCUGCUCCUGUUGCUGCGAAGAACCCAGUGGCACUGCGCCCUCUGAAUCACCUUGACUCGCCCGUCCAGCUGCUCGAACCCCGACAGUCUCUGCAAGUGAAGAACCAGAACGCGAUGAGCACAAGCCAACUGGGCGGGGCCUAGACUUGCCAAGAACCGAUCAGAAUUCAGAAUUGUAGAUUCCAUCACCCAAGAAGCAAUUGACCGUGCGUACCGGACGGCUUGGCGCGGCAGUGGGUGCCACCGGCGGCGGAGGAGACGGUGGCGCCAGGUCGGUCGUCUCGGCGGCCAUCCGGUUGGUUGAUCUUGAUUGGCGAUGUCUGCAGAGUGGGCCCCGCCACCGGAUCGAACCUGGAGGCAGGGCUAGUAGUAUUUGUUUGUCUGCAAUGGAAAGCAAGGCUGUCGGGUUGGUAGGUGGGUCAGGUGGCUUGUUGUUUUCUUGCUCUCCCGCCGGUGGCAGUGGCAGGCAGCUGCUGUUCUCCGCCUCCAAUGGCGCGGUGCCUUUGCGUGAGAACGUCUCGAUCGUCGCACGGCUACCUAUCUCCGGUGAGUACAUGCGUGUGCUAUGAUCAACCUCUGGGAAUUAAAUUGCAUGAUGAUGAUCACGGACGCAUGAACCAAUCGGAUUGUCGUCUGAAAAUGGAUCUCACAGUGCUGCUGCCUUAGCUGACAGUGUUCACAGAUCCUAGAUGGUGCCGUCUAUUCUCUAGCUAGGUGAGUUUGAGGCAUUUUUAGCGAGGUACCAAGGAUUUGCCUCCAAGUCGGGUUUAUAAUAAUUUAUAUUUGCCCUUCUUAA